CCUUCGAUAGCUCAGUUGGUAGAGCGGUGGACUGUAGUUGGAAUAUUGAUAUCCAUAGGUCGCUGGUUCAAAUCCGGCUCGAAGGA
Molecule: transfer RNA, 86 nt
Filed under: Heliconius melpomene (postman butterfly)
Lineage: Eukaryota; Metazoa; Arthropoda; Insecta; Lepidoptera; Nymphalidae
Description: tRNA-Tyr for anticodon GUA
Rfam family: tRNA
About the family: Transfer RNA (tRNA) molecules are approximately 80 nucleotides in length. Their secondary structure includes four short double-helical elements and three loops (D, anti-codon, and T loops). Further hydrogen bonds mediate the characteristic L-shaped molecular structure. tRNAs have two regions of fundamental functional importance: the anti-codon, which is responsible for specific mRNA codon recognition, and the 3' end, to which the tRNAs corresponding amino acid is attached (by aminoacyl-tRNA synthetases). tRNAs cope with the degeneracy of the genetic code in two manners: having more than one tRNA (with a specific anti-codon) for a particular amino acid; and 'wobble' base-pairing, i.e. permitting non-standard base-pairing at the 3rd anti-codon position.
Source: RNAcentral